Molecule: transfer RNA, 75 nt
Filed under: Pantoea agglomerans
Lineage: Bacteria; Pseudomonadati; Pseudomonadota; Gammaproteobacteria; Enterobacterales; Erwiniaceae
Description: tRNA-Ile
Rfam family: tRNA
About the family: Transfer RNA (tRNA) molecules are approximately 80 nucleotides in length. Their secondary structure includes four short double-helical elements and three loops (D, anti-codon, and T loops).
Source: RNAcentral
ACCCCUUAGCUUAGCGGUCAGAGCGUGCAACUCAUAAUCGCCCGGUCGCUGGUUCAAAUCCAGCAGGGGCCACCA